AAAAUAUUAAGAUACUUCCUCCCCCAAAAUGUACUUUAACGCAUGUUUUGAAUAGUAAGUGUGUACCAUGCAGCACCUUUUUGGUAGCAGAGGGAAGUAUCUCAUAAAGUCAGCGACAGGAAUUUUAUAAUUUAUAAAAAGUCCUGCAGUCUUAUAGGCAAAGGUUAAUCCAUAUGUGCUCCACCCUGUGCAAAACUGAGCUGCAGUGCUACUGGGACACUGGUAGAUAGAUGGGUGUUCCCGGCUAUCACCUCAUCCCUGUCUCUCUGGAACCACGGAGACGCCAGUGGAUGGGUGUUCCCGGCUAUCACCUCAUCCCUGUCCCUCUGGAACCAUGGAGAUGCCAGUGGAUGGGUGUUCCCAGCUAUCACCUCAUCCCUGUCUCUGUGGAACCAUGGAGACGCCAGUGGAUGGGUGUUCCUGGCUAUCACAGCAUCCCUGUCUCUCUGGAACCAUGGAGAUGCCAGUGGAUGGGUGUUCCUGGCUAUCACCUCAUUCCUGUCUCUCUGGAACCAUGUAGACGCCAGUGGAUGGGUGUUCCCGGCUAUCACCUCAUCCCAGUCUCUGUGGCACCACGGAGACGCCAGUGGAUGGGUGUUCCCGGCUAUCACCUCAUCCCCGUCUCUCUGGAACCACGGAAACGCCAGUGGAUGGGUGUUCCCGGCUAUCACCUCAUCCCCGUCUCUCUGGAACCACGGAGACGCCAGUGGAUGGGUGUUCCCGGCUAUCACAGCAUCCCUGUCUCUCUGGAACCAUGGAGACGCCAGUGGAUGGGUGUUCCCGGCUAUCACCUCAUCCCUGUCUCUCUGGAACCACGGAGACGCCCAUGGAUGGGUGUUCCCGGCUAUCACAGCAUCCCUGUCUCUCUGGAUCCACGGAGACGCCAGUGGAUGGAUGUUCCCGGCUAUCACAGCAUCCCUGUGUCUCUGGAUCCACGGAGACGCCAGUGGAUGGGUGUUCCCGGCUAUCACAGCAUCCCUGUCUCUCUGGAUCCACGGAGACGCCAGUGGAUGGGUGUUCGUGGCUAUCACCUCAUCCCUGUCUCUCUGGAACCACGGAGACGCCCGUGGAUGGGUGUUCCCGGCUAUCACGGCAUCCCUGUCUCUCCAGUGCUGUAUGUGGCAAUGUGAGCCCUUACAUCUGUCUGUCCUUUCAGUAACGCACCCAAGUGAGACAACACUGAAAUGCACAGAUCUUUCAAAAGACAACUCUUGCAAGCCCCUCAGUUAUGAGUCUCCGGCGGUGAGGAAGAGCCUGCUCGUGUGUUCAAAACACUGGAGGACCCUUGGUCUGAGAACUAACCAAGGAUGAUCCACGACCUAGAGGAAGACAGACCAAGAUCAAAGAAGACCCCAUUUGCUUGUACCUGGAGUGGCACCACCCUGGACAUCAGGUGGUCAAAAUAAAGGUCCACUGCUUCGGUGAAGCCCUUGACUGGAACCAAGAACUAAGUGAACUGAUCUAGGGACCAGAAUCGAGGGCAAGCCCUCUUCCCUCUGCAUCAACAAGAUUUGGAUGAAGCAUAAGACCGGCUGAGUAAAAGGUCAGGCGCUCUGACCCCAGUUAGCUUACCGUGCCCACGCCCCAUUGGAGAAGAAAAUGUAACUUUAUCAAAAAAACAGCUACAAGGAGUAAGGGGAAAGCUCGGUGAUCAUCCUAUAUUUACUGAAGCCCCGGAAUUCCAAAACGGGCAACAGAAUGAAGCUUCCAACUCGAAAGACAGGACAAGGGAUGGAGCAGGCUCAUGGACAGGCUCAACUCGAGAGGCGGAAGGGACGACUCAUGGAUGACACAGUGAUGGCAGCUGCUCUUCUCCCGGCCCCACCCCAUCGCUGGCUUUCGCAGAGCCUCUGCCCACUACAAAGAAUAUUCUCAGGUGAAGGAGGAGAGCCUGCCUGGCUUCCAACCCAGACACACGAGCUCUGCCUUUCAGCAAGUGUCGUCGGUGCUGCUUCUGCGGGUCAGAGUGCUGAGCCUGCAGCGCUCCCACAACCUUCAGGAGUCCUUUCGGGGACGUUGUCAAGGCUCGGCACGUUUCUGUAACUCUUUAAGGAACUGUCUUCAAAAUCAGUUCAUAAACCACCCAUGAAAAGCCAUCUCCUUGAUUUGUAAUCACAUAUUUUUGCCUAAACAUGGAAUAAUCCAGCCUGAUCACCCCCUUUAUUUCAUAGACUUAGAGUCAAGUAUCAGUUGGCAAUCUGGGGGGAAACCCAUGAAAAGAUCCAGGUUAUUCACAACUGAGCACACUUUAUAAAUGAUUUGCAAAUUCGACAGUUUACUGCGUGCCUACCAUGUGCCAAUCAUCACAGCAGAGGCUGGGAUGGCACCCACAGCAUUCUAGGACCGCUGCUCAAGAGCAGUGCUGAAAACUGGGGCCAGAGAGCCUCUCAGGCAGCUCUCCUGAAGAAGUCUCCGUUCACUGGCUGUAUAAAC
RNAcentral lists this long non-coding RNA (2433 nucleotides) under Pan troglodytes (chimpanzee). RNAcentral's name for it is "long non-coding RNA NONPTRT003269". The record is from RNAcentral. Lineage: Eukaryota; Metazoa; Chordata; Mammalia; Primates; Hominidae.